AUGACGGAGAUAUCAGGCCUCACCGCCGACAAGUUCCACGAGGAUAACAAGUUGUGGAUAGAGAGAGAGCAGAGUACUAUCCCGCCGCUGGCCAAGGGGCGAUACAGGAACGUGAUGGACAUGAUGCCUGCAGGAUCUGCCCGUGACGCCCUCGGUGUCAUCUACGAGCGGUGGUUCAUCGAAACGUACCAUGACUGGUGUGAGAUAACAUUCAUCCUCCUGGAGAUGGACUGGGUUCUAAUGCCCGGAGGGAGGGUGAUCUUCAGGGUUACCGUGCAGAUGUGCUAG
RNAcentral lists this ribosomal RNA (288 nucleotides) under Triticum aestivum (bread wheat). RNAcentral's name for it is "partial small subunit ribosomal RNA". Lineage: Eukaryota; Viridiplantae; Streptophyta; Magnoliopsida; Poales; Poaceae. The record is from RNAcentral.